AGGAGCAUUAAUCCUAGCUCUGCUACAACCUUACUGUGGGGGUUAUUGCUGCACUGCUAGCUCAGCCAGAGGUUUGCUAUGAUUGCCUGCUGUGUUCCAUAUCUGUGCUACUAUGAACAAAUGAGGUGUGAUGCUACUGACUAAAAGUGUCUGAGACAG
RNAcentral lists this long non-coding RNA (159 nucleotides) under Anser brachyrhynchus (Pink-footed goose). RNAcentral's name for it is "lncRNA (ENSABRG00000012258.1)". The record is from RNAcentral. Lineage: Eukaryota; Metazoa; Chordata; Aves; Anseriformes; Anatidae.